GCUGAAUACAACAGGUGUAGGUAGACAUUACAGUGAAAUGCUGAAUACAACAGGUGUAGGUAGACAUUACAGUGAAAUGCUGAAUACAACAGGUGUAGUAGACCUCACAGUGAAAUGCUGAAUACAACAGGUGUAGGUAGACAUUACAGUGAAAUGCUGAAUACAACAGGUGUAGGUAGACAUUACAGUGAAAUGCUGAAUACAACAGGUGUAGUAGACCUUACAGUGAAAUGCUGAAUACAACAGGUGUAGGUAGACAUUACAGUGAAAUGCUGAAUACAACAGGUGUAGGUAGACAUUACAGUGAAAUGCUGAAUACAACAGGUGUAGGUAGACAUUACAGUGAAAUGCUGAAUACAACAGGUGUAGGUAGACCUUACAGUGAAAUGCUGAAUACAACAGGUGUAGUAGACCUCACAGUGAAAUGCUGAAUACAACAGGUGUAGGUAGACAUUACAGUGAAAUGCUGAAUACAACAGGUGUAGGUAGACAUUACAGUGAAAUGCUGAAUACUACAGGUGUAGUAGACCUCACAGUGAAAUGCUGAAUACAACAGGUGUAGUAGACCUCACAGUGAAAUGCUGAAUACAACAG
This is a long non-coding RNA of Oncorhynchus tshawytscha (Chinook salmon), 594 nucleotides long. NCBI's taxonomy places the organism in Eukaryota, Metazoa, Chordata, Actinopteri, Salmoniformes, Salmonidae. The record is from Ensembl.